Molecule: long non-coding RNA, 228 nt
Organism: Melanotaenia boesemani (Boeseman's rainbowfish)
Lineage: Eukaryota; Metazoa; Chordata; Actinopteri; Atheriniformes; Melanotaeniidae
Exons: 3
Source: RefSeq, a predicted model, not a curated record
UCCAGCAUCAUGGAUCAGGACAGAGAGGAGGGAGUCCCUCCCUCUAAAACCACUCAGAGGAACCAGCCUGGACCUGGACCUGGACCUGGAUCUGAGCCCAGCUGUUUGUCCUUUAAGAGCGAUCGGUCAAGGGAUGCUCCUCUUUAUUUUAAAUCAGACCCACAAAGAGUGGACCAGCAGAGCUCAGAGCUUCCCAGUGGUCAGUCUGCCCAGCAGCAUCAAACACAG